GACCUGGUGGCACAGUAGUUAAGUGCUUGGCUGCUAACCAAAAGGUUGGUAGUUCAAACCCACCACAGCUCC
This 72-nucleotide transfer RNA is filed under the name Loxodonta africana (African savanna elephant). It matches the Rfam family "tRNA". Rfam says of the family: Transfer RNA (tRNA) molecules are approximately 80 nucleotides in length. Lineage: Eukaryota; Metazoa; Chordata; Mammalia; Proboscidea; Elephantidae. The record is from Rfam by way of RNAcentral.